CCUACGGGUGGCAGCAGUGGGGAAUAUUGGGCAAUGGGCGCAAGCCUGACCCAGCAACGCCGCGUGAAGGAAGAAGGCUUUCGGGUUGUAAACUUCUUUUGUCAGGGACGAAGAAAGUGACGGUACCUGACGCAUAAGCCAAGGUUAACUACGUGCCAGCAGCCGCGGUAAUCCGUAGGUGGCAAGCGUUCUCCGGAUUUAUUGGGUGUAAAGGGCGUGUAGGCGGGAAUGCAAGUCAGAUGUGAAAACUAUGGGCUCAACCCAUAGCCUGCAGUUGAAACUGUAUUUCUUGAGUGCUGGAGAGGCAAGCGGAAUUCCGUGUGUAGCGGUGAAAUGCGUAGAUAUACGGAGGAACACCAGUGGCGAAGGCAGAUUGCUGGACAGUAACUGACGCUGAGGCGCGAAAGCGUGGGGAGCAAACAGGAUUAGAUACCCUUGUAGUC
This 443-nucleotide ribosomal RNA is filed under the name uncultured bacterium. RNAcentral describes it as "partial 16S ribosomal RNA". It matches the Rfam family "Bacterial small subunit ribosomal RNA", at positions 338 to 795 of the family's 1533-position model. The record is from RNAcentral.